Molecule: ribosomal RNA, 443 nt
Filed under: uncultured bacterium
Lineage: Bacteria
Description: partial 16S ribosomal RNA
Rfam family: Bacterial small subunit ribosomal RNA
Source: RNAcentral
CCUACGGGAGGCAGCAGUGGGGAAUAUUGGGCAAUGGGCGCAAGCCUGACCCAGCAACGCCGCGUGAAGGAAGAAGGCUUUCGGGUUGUAAACUUCUUUUCUCAGGGACGAAGCAAGUGACGGUACCUGAGGAAUAAGCCACGGCUAACGACGUGCCAGCAGCCGCGGGAAUACGUAGGUGGCAAGCGUUAUCCGGAUUUACUGGGUGUAAAGGGCGUGUAGGCGGGAAAGCAAGUCAGAUGUGAAAACCAUGGGCUCAACCUGUGGCCUGCAGUUGAAACUGUUUUUCUUGAGUAAUGGAGAGGCAGACGGAAUUCCUGGUGUAGCGGUGAAAUGCGUAGAUAUGAGGAGGAACACCAGUGGCGAAGGCGGUCUGCUGGACAGCAACUGACGCUGAGGCGCGAAAGCGUGGGGAGCAAACAGGAUUAGAUACCCCUGUAGUC